CCUACGGGUGGCAGCAGUGAGGAAUAUUGGUCAAUGGGCUUACGCCUGAACCAGCCAAGUCGCGUGAGGGAAGACUGCCCUAUGGGUUGUAAACCUCUUUUGUCAGGGAGCAACGCCGGCUACGUGUAGCCGGACUGAGAGUACCUGAAGAAAAAGCAUCGGCUAACUCCGUGCCAGCAGCCGCGGUAAUACGGAGGAUGCGAGCGUUAUCCGGAUUUAUUGGGUGUAAAGGGUGCGUAGGCGGAAUGCCAAGACAGCGGUAAAAUCGCGGGGCUAAACCUCGCGCCGCCGUUGAAACUGGCGGUCUUGAGUGGGCGAGAAGUAUGCGGAAUGCGUGGUGUAGCGGUGAAAUGCAUAGAUAUCACGCAGAACUCCGAUUGCGAAGGCAGCAUACCGGCGCCCAACUGACGCUGAAGCACGAAAGCGUGGGUAUCGAACAGGAUUAGAUACCCGAGUAGUC
Molecule: ribosomal RNA, 460 nt
Filed under: uncultured bacterium
Lineage: Bacteria
Description: partial 16S ribosomal RNA
Rfam family: Bacterial small subunit ribosomal RNA
Source: RNAcentral